Molecule: RNA transcript, 2017 nt
Organism: Parus major (Great Tit)
Lineage: Eukaryota; Metazoa; Chordata; Aves; Passeriformes; Paridae
Exons: 4
Source: RefSeq, a predicted model, not a curated record
GCGGGUAUGGCGCUUCCCGGCCAGCCGGAUCGGAACGGAGCAAGGGGACGCGGGAGGACACGGGAGACGGAGCUAGAGCUGAGCCUGCAGAGGUCAUUCGAUUACCGGAAAGAGCCACGGGGAGUAUCGGGGCUCGGUGCUGGCUUGCCCGAAGGGAGCAGCGGCACCUUCCUGGAGAGGUGCGGAGCUUAACUUCCAAAUGGGAGAGAACCUGAGCACUCCCUGCGCCUCUGUGGGCAACAGAAACCUCGAAGGGAGAAGGUCAGCGGUGGGCUCUGAGGUGACGAUAGCUCAUUCCGCUCCAGAAACGUCGGGAAUGGUGUCCCAGUCACCUGCUACGCAGCAGCCCCAGGGAUUUCCCAAAAGACGGCUUGCCUUCGGACACUGAGGAGUGAGCCCUGUACUCCUGGUACCGGUUCUGCGCACCAACCGAUGCGCGAGGAGUGCUGAUGAUCCUGUCCCUUCUCUCUCUCCUGCUUAGGAAGAGCCCUUCUCCCGACCCUGGAAGGCCCUGGCACAGCUCGCCGAUCUCCGUGUUCAGGGGUUUAUGUGGGAAUCAGAGCAGAAUGGAUCGGAAUCGAUAUUUCAUCUUUAACCAGAGGAACAUGGUCGUGCUGGGGAUGUUCCAGAUAGCCUUCAGCACCAUCUGUGUCACCAGUGGGUUCAUAGAUGGAAUUUUCAGAACAGAGUCUCAGCUGGGCAAAACCAGAGCUCCAGUUUGGGCUGGCAUGGUGAUGGGAGUCCCAGGUGUCCUAGCUUUGUUCUCCUCGCAGAGGAAGAAUCCAGUUCUUGUGAAUGUACUGAUAGUUGCUUCCAUAUUCUCUUGUGUUGCCAUCCUCAUUAUAAUAGUUUAUAGCUUCUUCACGCUGAACUAUGGUGAAGAGGAGGAGUUGAGUUCUGCCCCAGUCCAUGUUAUCCAUACUGUAAGUAUUGAUAUCAUGAUUAUUUAUGGGGAACAUGACACCUUAAAUCUGCAAACAGUGCCAGAUGUUGUUGCAGCUGGGUCUAGGGGCCUCUCUGACCCUCAGUUCUGCUGGCAACAAGCCCAGAUAGACGUCCUGGGAAAGAGGAAGCCUGUCUGCUUACAAACAGAACCAGACUUCAGGGUCAGGUUUGGCUGCUUUUGCUUCUUGGUGCAAAGAGGUGGUGUGGGCUGAGCCAUGAAAAAAUACUGGUACUGCUCAGGGAAAGGUGCUGAGAGUAUACCUGGCCUGGUUUGAAACAGUGGUUGCAAGGUUCAAAUCUUCCCAGCAGGCACAUCAGGUGAUAAAAUUACAGCAGUUACAGGGCAGCUGGUUAAACCUGGUCUUAUUUCAAGUGUAUCCUCCACAGUAAAGCUGAAGAGAAGGAAUGAUGCCCUUUUGUAUCUCCAAUCUACAAACAAUUGCUUGCUGUGGGGGUGAAGGUAUUCCAGAUAGAUGAAGCUGGUGAUUAGUUUAUUGAAGUACAAAUCAAAAUGUCAGGCUUCUAUAAGGUGCAGUGCAGCAAGAGGAUGUUUCUCAUAAUCAGUGUGAAGAAGAGCAGCCAUUCCUUGGGUUUUUACUUAUUGUCAAAUGCCAUUGCAUAGCAUCUCACAUUUAAUCAACAGCCUUAUUUCACUGCUUGCUUUAUUUGAGGUUCAUGCUUGGUUUGUUUUUCAGAACACAGAAAAACCUUAAAUAACACUGACUACAAUCAAUCUCCUAUCAUGUGAUCAUAGCAUUCUUGCAGUCAUGAGAUUAUUUUUUGGUGGAGAGCGUCACUUUUUAAAUAUGGCUUUACCGUCUCCUUUUCUGUUUGCAGAGGUUCAUAUUCAAUAAAAUUGUCAAGGGUGCUAACAUAGCCAUGCUGGCUGUAUCCAUCUGCAGUGCCUUUUUUGUACUGGCCAUGGCUUACUUGGGAUGCUGGAGUCUUCCACACUGCUCCUGCUAUGACAGUGUAACUGGGAUGUUACCCCGACGACAGCAGACUGUUGGAGGAGAAGGUUUUACCAGCAGCCAUCAAGAGAAACUAUAGGGGUGGAACUGCCAGCAACAAG